RNAcentral lists this long non-coding RNA (755 nucleotides) under Homo sapiens (human). RNAcentral's name for it is "non-protein coding lnc-SMARCC1-4:1". Lineage: Eukaryota; Metazoa; Chordata; Mammalia; Primates; Hominidae. The record is from RNAcentral.
UUUUUUGGAGGCUUUUUUGGUCUGAUUUGUGAGAUUGAUAUUGUCCUUAAUGAUAAGGAAACAAAGAAAAUGGCAGAAGUGAAAACUGAAAAUGGCGAAGUAGAAAAACACCAUCUCCUCUAUGAUGGAGAAUCUGUUUCAGGAAAGGUGAAAGAGUCUAGAAAGAGCUAGAGCACCACAACAUUAGAAUUGAAUUUGUACGUCAAAUUGAACUUUUCUAUGAUAAGAGUAAUAUUCAAGAGUUUGUAAACCUAGUGAAAGAACUAGCCUUACCUGGAGAGCUGACUCAGAAGUUGUCAUUUGGAAUUUAUACAUGUUGAAAAGUCAUGAGAAUCUUACAUUGGUGCUAAUGUCCUCUUGAUGUAUUGAAGUGUUAGUAGUAAGAAGACUGACAGACUUGGUAAAAAGAAUGUGAUCUUACUGUUCACCAACUUGCCAGCUAUCCUGAUGGAAGUGGGCAUUGAAGAUUGUCUACAUAUAGAAUUUGAAUAUAAUGAAGUAUCAUUUAAAGGAUGUGACUGUUACAAAAAUUUACCUCUUAUAAGUAAGAAUAAAAACACAACAUAUGGGGUUACAACUGAUCAAUAAGACUGUUGUUAGCAGGAUAUGACCUAACUCCAACAAUGAAAGUUAUGAACAAAAAAGUUUCAGUAAGGUACUUUUUGAAUUUAGCGCCUGUUGAUGAGGAAGACAGAGGGUACUUUAGGCAGCAGAUCAUUUAAUGGAGAAAAGCUCCUGAAAAACUGAGGAAACAG